RNAcentral lists this ribosomal RNA (253 nucleotides) under uncultured bacterium. Its description in RNAcentral is "partial 16S ribosomal RNA". It matches the Rfam family "Bacterial small subunit ribosomal RNA", at positions 524 to 776 of the family's 1533-position model. The record is from RNAcentral.
GACAGAGGGGGCAAGCGUUGCUCGGAAUUACUGGGCGUAAAGGGCGCGUAGGCGGGAUGGCAAGUCGGUCGUGAAAUCCUUCGGCUCAACCGAAGAACGUCGAUCGAUACUGCUGUUCUUGAGGGUUGCAGAGGAGACUGGAAUUCCCGGUGUAGCGGUGAAAUGUGUAGAGAUCGGGAGGAACACCGGUGGCGAAGGCGGGUCUCUAGUACGGUACUGACGCUGAGACGCGAAAGCGUGGGGAGCGAACAGG